Molecule: ribosomal RNA, 231 nt
Filed under: uncultured bacterium
Lineage: Bacteria
Description: partial 16S ribosomal RNA
Rfam family: Bacterial small subunit ribosomal RNA
Source: RNAcentral
GAUGAACGCUAGCGGCAGGCUUAAUACAUGCAAGUCGAGGGCAGCGCAGUGUAGCAAUACAUGGGCGGCGACCGGCAAACGGGUGCGGAACACGUACAGAACCUUCCUUCGAGCGGGGAAUAGCCCAGAGAAAUUUGGAUAAUACCCCAUAGUAUAGUGGAGAGGCAUCUCUUACUAUUAAAGAUUUAUCACUUGAAGAUGGCUGUGCGGCUGAUUAGGUAGNGGUCGGGG